RNAcentral lists this long non-coding RNA (207 nucleotides) under Elaeis guineensis (African oil palm). RNAcentral's name for it is "long non-coding RNA (EGUI_LNC023739)". The record is from RNAcentral. Lineage: Eukaryota; Viridiplantae; Streptophyta; Magnoliopsida; Arecales; Arecaceae.
CAUGCAUCUCUCCAACUUCAUUUCUUGUCAAAAAUUGGACCAGUAGAUGGUAUGUUGAAACCACUGCUUUUAGAGCGUUAAGUCCAAUUCGUUCGAGUAGGGCAUUAUAAGCCUAAGGAACUCGAACUAUCAUGAACGUUAUGAAGACAGUACUUUAUUGUGGUUCAGUUUUAGUGAUCAAAGAGAGAGAGAUUUCUCCUUUCACUG